CACUUUUCAAAAUGGUAAUUUUUCGAGACCCACUUGCUUUUAAUGCAUAUUUUAAAACACCAUGGCAAAUGGCUUUAGAGGCAUACAAUUGGCACAAUCUGCUUUAGAUGCAUACACCGUGGCAAUCAGUUUUAGAGGCAUAAAAUUGACACAUCAUGGAAAUCCGUUUUAGAUGCAUACAAUUGGCAAACCAUGGCAAUCCGCUUUAGAUGCAUACAAUUGGAACAUUAUGGCAGCUUUAAAUGCAUAAAAUUGGCACACUAUCGCAAUCAGUUUG
Non-coding RNA from Pelobates cultripes (western spadefoot toad), 277 nucleotides. The record is from the annotation of a GenBank genome assembly. Lineage: Eukaryota; Metazoa; Chordata; Amphibia; Anura; Pelobatidae.